This is a long non-coding RNA of Tarenaya hassleriana, 1831 nucleotides long. RefSeq lists it as uncharacterized. The record is from RefSeq and is a predicted model, not a curated record. The transcript is spliced from 3 exons. Lineage: Eukaryota; Viridiplantae; Streptophyta; Magnoliopsida; Brassicales; Cleomaceae.
CGCUUGAGUUUUUUCCAUCGCGGAACUGGGGGAAAAAUUUUAUAGGAUUUUCUCGGGAAAGUAAGGUGAGAAAGGAAUACCUUCGAUGGUUUCGUUCGAGAGAUUCAGUGUGUGGAACUCGACCAGCUUCCUUGGAGCCGUUUGCUUGGGAAUCCGAAGCAGAUUGAGAUCAAAUCAGAGCCCAGCAGAAGUUUCAGAAGAGCCAGGGUUUGUCUUCUUCACCCAUAAACCCUAAACCCAAAAUUUAAUCCCUUUCCUUCUCUCUGAAUUUAAUUGCGUAUAUAUUUAGACAUUUAAGUCUCUCUCUCUACUUGGGUUGUUUCCGAUCAAUUAUAAAUUGUAGCCCACAGAAUCUUUUGCCCUUCUAUUUCACGUUGCUUCGUCUUCUGCUCGGUUUGUCAACCAUUUGAACCUAAUCUGUCUUCUGUUCCAAGGUAUAGGUUGUUUGGUUUACCGUUCUUGUUUCCCUCUGUAAUUUGGAUACAAUUUCUUGUAAUAUUGACACUUGAGAUCAAUACCCAGAAGUCAAAAUUAAGGGAUCUGGUUGGGAAACUCGUCAAAGCCAAACCUGGAAUGAACCUACCAUUGAUUUGUGCAUGGGCCAUCCCUUGGUGAUGAUCUUGAUGAAGCCGUGUAGGCAAAUUGUAUUGUAAUGCCAAUCUCGGGAAGGUUUGUUUCAUAUCUCUUUCAUCCGUUUUUGACAUGCCCUUGGAUUUCACAAUUCACGCACUUUGUUUUCAUCAGAACAUCCUUCUCCCAUUAUCAGUGGGAACAUUCUCACUGUGGGAGAUCUUCAGCAAGGAGCUUUCUUGCAAGAUCGAUGUCAAUCACAGGUUUCUACCUUCUUAUUCUUCGUUUUAAGGACCCUUUGGUAGAUGAUUCUACAAUUUCACAGGGAAGAAUUUGACGCGGAAAUGGUUCCGUACGGAGUGGUCGGAGAUUUUCCACACGACCCGACAUUGCCGCUGGUAAGAAAAGAAAACUCUCAGAGGAAACCGUGACCCAGACGUGGUUCCCGCUUUUGCAGUUGAGACCCAAAAGAAAACAUAUAAAAGAAAGGCUUUGUUUUGGUGAAGGCAACAAGUAAGGAACCAUUAUGCACCAAUGCAAGGGGAGGCACAGUGGGUGGUACUGGAGACUCUUCUGCAAUGUGGAAGUGGUUGGCUUUGUUUCUUGAGAUCUUCCAGGCAUUUCACAUCUGAAAUGCAAGCGAAUGAUCUUGCUUUUCCUGAGUAGUACCUUGACAAUCCUCUCCUGUCACUCAUCCGGCCAAACCAAAUGUAAGUAUAUCAGACAACAACUCGACUCAUUACAAUAUAUAUAAUAUACACACAUAUAUAUGCAAGGGUUUCAAGUUUGUUUACUUCUUGGGGAGGUUGUUCCUUAGCUCCCCCAUGUCAAAUGCCAUCAACCCAUUUCUGUUCUCCAUCUUUUGGACAGAUUGGAAUCCUUGGGUGUUUUUUUUUGUUUUGUGUUUCAAUCGUGGGUUUUCAGAUUCAGGGGGAAAGAAUGAAGCUUUUUAUACAAGAAGGAGAGAUAAGAAAAGAGAUGGUACAUAAAUUUCAGGUCCUAGUGAUGGAGAUGGUGAAUCUGGACAUCUCCAACCAGUGGCUAAUUUAAGGUUUUUCUAUUCUUGUUUUUGGUCCUCUUUUGUUCUGCAGAAAGAGGAAACCCGCAGAAUCUGCAAACCCAAAUCUUUUGGCUAUAAGCCUCUAAGAUCUCUGGUCCGACCACUUGGUAUUGCACCUUAGGAACCCCAAGUUUGUAAAUUUUGUGGUGGUGAAUUUAGGAUCAUAACAUAUCCAUUAUGCAUAUACAUGGGUUUUGCUCU